RNAcentral lists this ribosomal RNA (484 nucleotides) under uncultured bacterium. RNAcentral describes it as "partial 16S ribosomal RNA". It matches the Rfam family "Bacterial small subunit ribosomal RNA", at positions 28 to 523 of the family's 1533-position model. The record is from RNAcentral.
GACGAACGCUGGCGGCGUGCUUAACACAUGCAAGUCGAACGAUGAAGCCGGAGCUUGCUCUGGUGAAUUAGUGGCGAACGGGUGAGUAACACGUGAGUAACCUGCCCUUGACUCUGGGUUAACUGCGGGAAACUGUAGCUAAUACCGGAUACGACCCUCGGAGGCAUCCCCUGGGGGUGGGAAGACUUUCGGUCAAGGAUGGACUCGCGGCCUAUCAGCUAGUUGGUGAGGUAAAGGCUCACCAAGGCGAUGACGGGUAGCCGGCCUGAGAGGGUGACCGGCCACACUGGGACUGAGACACGGCCCAGACUCCUACGGGAGGCAGCAGUGGGGAAUAUUGCACAAUGGGCGCAAGCCUGAUGCAGCAACGCCGCGUGAGGGAUGACGGCCUUCAGGUUGUAAACCUCUUUUAGCAGGGAAGAAGCGAAAGUGACGGUACCUGCAGAAAAAGCACCGGCUAACUACGUGCCAGCCGCCGCCGUAA